This is a long non-coding RNA of Oncorhynchus keta (chum salmon), 3543 nucleotides long. RefSeq lists it as uncharacterized. The record is from RefSeq and is a predicted model, not a curated record. The transcript is spliced from 4 exons. Lineage: Eukaryota; Metazoa; Chordata; Actinopteri; Salmoniformes; Salmonidae.
GGUAUUUCUUAACCCUCUGCAUCGAGGGGAUAGUUGUGUGGUGGUAAUGUUGUGUGUGUAUUUCUUAACCCUCUGCAUCGAGGGGAGAGUUGUGUGGUGGUAAUGUUGUGUGGGUAUUUCUUAACCCUCUGCAUCGAGGGGAGAGUUGUGUGGUGGUAAUGUUGUGUGUGUGUUUGCAGCCAACAUGAAGAAAAGGAAAAGGCGCUAAAGGAGCGCAGAUGUCACACCUUGUUGUCCUCCUGCCAACCCUGCAGGUCAUCAGACACCCCUAACUCAUAUCUCCAUAUCUACAACUAAUUGCUGAACUCACAUGGAACUAAAUUAUACCCAUAAAUAAAAUUGACAGUGGGGAUAGGUUGUUAGUUAUUACCUGAACAGUUAAUUAUUCACCAGCCCUCCAGUGUGGUUGACCGCUGACCCUCACUGAUGCCCUCACCACGCUUCAUUCAGCCUCCCUCAGCUCAGCCAACAAGUUUAAGUGUCUGGACAUGGGAUAUAAACUGAGGCUGAGGAGGAUUGUGAAGCUCCCUCAUUGAAUGUGACCAGUGCAAGCAGCAAAAUUAGCACAUACUACAGGGGUGAAUUUCCUCACUGUCUGGAGCCCUUACUGCUGCUGGGACAGCGCCACCCAGCCUCCGUCACCGGGGCAACUAGUAUUGCAGCCCUAUCCUCCAGACUGAGAUCUAGAACAUGAAGGACCAGGUACAGGAGCUACACAGGGACCUGACCAAGCGCCACUCCCUCAUCAACACAGACACCAUGGGGGAGAUACUGGACCGCUCCCUGCACAUCGACAGACAGAUCAAUCAAAUUUAAAAUAAAAAAAGCUUUAAAACCCAGGUUGAAGGGACCACCCUCACCACCCCAACGGCAGCAACGUGCUUAGGCAAAGACACCUGGAUCCACGUAUCCCACUGUAAGCAAGUAGCAGAGCCAGAACAAGAUGCUACUCCUGUUACUCCUAGAAUCCAGUAGGAACACUCUGCUUACCCUGGGACUCGCAGAUAUUGUGGCUUUGGGCAUCCUCUGGGUGGUAGCAGACUUUGAGCCAGAGGCGGGAGAACGUGCUAGUAACCUCUCCCCGACCUCUUCAGUCCAACGAGACUGUGGAAGCCAAGAAGUAGUAGAUGACCCUGCUAGUAGAUGAGAAGUAGAUGACCCUGCUGACCUGAACCUGGACCCUGGUGACCCUGCUGAGCUGAAGAGAAGAAAAAGAGGACAUAAACAUUAUGGGGUUUCCCCCGGGUCAAACACUUUCUUACAGGUAACUAAUAAUGUUUCUGUGCUACAGAAUGUAUCAGAUUGUUGGGUUUGUGGACUGUUGACAGACAGUGCUGAGACUAUGCCAUUGCUAGCUAUACCCCUUAAUGCUUAUGUAAUAUUGAUGUGGACCAAAGCAGGUAACCUUUCAGAUUGAGAGCUUGAUUGGGUGGAGGGUGAGGUGUUUUUAUAUGAGAAGAUUUGAUUUUAAUAAUCACACCUCUCUGCCCAAGCAACCCAUCACCCUGGCAUACUCUCCCCCAGGUUAUUUGGGUUAUAUAGAAAAAGGAACUGGUCCCCAGUUGGGGGAAAGUAAUUGUAAGUAUAACCUUUCUGUAUACAAUAACCUUACCCUACCCUUACUGUUGAGAAAUGGAACAUUCCACCAUAACAUGUAAUUGAGAAUACAUUAUAGACUCAAGAAUGGCAGUGUGUAUGCUAAACAUACUUCCUCAGUAAGUGGAACUAUGUGUAUGUGUGUGGGGGGAAAGCCUACUCCUAUCUGGCUACAAACUGGUCAGGAUCAUGUUAUGCUGCCUAUGUUGUUCCUGCUGUGCGUGCUACCCCAGUACCCACAAAUCACAAUUUCUCCCACUUGUAUAGGAGGACCAUUGUAGCCGGCCCUACAAAACAGAUCCCUAUGAACCUUCCUUUUCGCCAGAUUGUUAUUAUAAAGUUACCUUUCAGAAGUUCCAUUCAGACCACCCCUUUCUGUGUAACAUGACAAUUUCCCAGAAACCAGAAGGUUUUAAGUUCUGUUUGACAACAGCUCAGAUAUAUCACAUAUCCAUGGCAUCAAAGGGGUAAUUGCUGUGGCAGAAGUGGAGUGAGCUGGGGUUAUGUCUUUGUUCCGUCUUUGUUCUCUGUUCUGUGUUAGACUGUGAUGAUACGCAUUUCAUAGACUCAUGUUAUCACUACACCCUAACAGAAGGCCAUUGUGUUCUGGAACUGUUGCUUGUAUAAAAUAACUGUUGUGUAAACAAUACGAUUGUAUAUAUAAAAAUAUGAUAGAUAUAAGGGACAUGUAACCACUUACUCUUCGAGAUCCCUGACUGCGAUCAGAGACGGAUCUGCCUUACAGCUGCCCGUAUGUUUGUAUUAAAUAUUUACUAUUAUAAUCAUAAAUUAGUCUCUGCAUAAUCUUUGGAUUUAGUUUUCUACAACAGCAUUCAUCAAGACCAUUGACUACCAUUGGCCAGGAAGGAAGACAGCCAGUCACACAACAGGGCAGAGACAGCAUGUGACCUCUUCUUCUGUUCAUAUAGCCGCUCCUGACAUCUAAUGGUGACAUUUCCUGGCAUAGAGGAGUUGUCAUCCCUUAGACAAACAGGUCUCAGAGGACUGCAGUAACACUGACACGCACUGGGCUCAAUCAGUCACUAACUGUACUCAAUGACUCACUAACUAGAGUAAAUGGACAAACUGAGAGGGGGGUGAAUCCCCUCCGAUCUCACUCCUCAACAUGAAAAGAUCAAUCUGAAGGACUCACCUCUCAGUAUGGACUGACUGGAUGAAGGAUCUGCAGUUUUAUGCUGAGGAAGUGACUGACUACCAUUUCUCAAUCAUCAAUGCAUGGUUCAGACAUACAAUAGCAUACAGAGGAAGAGUGCUUCCUUAGUCUAUAUUACUGAAAUUGUAAUAUGCUGUUACGCUGUGAGUUAUCCUGAAUGGGCAAGUCUGUCUGAUUGUAUGGUUCUAAAACCAAUUGUUGUAUUUGUAUCAUAUGAUCACUAGUUGUCAUGUACAUUACAUAAGGGAAUGUACCUAUCUGGUGAUGCUGGUCUUCAUCCUCAGGAGGUCAUAGAUAGUUCUGGUUUGACACCAACAAAUAGAACAGUCCAAAUGUAAAGUGCAGUCAUCUGUAUAAUGCCUUAAUGUGCAUGUAACCUGUGCAUUAAUCAUGGUGAAAUGAGGUGAGUAUUGACAGUAUGGUUUCCUUAAUUUACCCAAGAAUAAGUGGCAAAUUGGUGAAAUGUAUGUAAGGCACAGGCAGGCAUCCCUUCCCCCUUUCUCCUGCCACCUCUUCUCUCCCCCGGCCCCCCCUCUCUCCUUCUCUCUCCAUCCCUCUGAGGCACAGGCACAGCCUAGUAAAUGUAUUCCUUCGUGUUCCUCCCUGUCCUCUCCUCCAGCACAUUAGUAAAGUGUCAGCAGCAUGCUCCAGGGUUUUCCACCACCAGGAAAUCAGCAGGCUACUCUCUGCAUCUUUCUCUCUCUCUCUGUACCACCCUCUUUCCAUCCUUCUUUCUUAUUCUCCAUUCCCCCUGAAUCCUCUUUGUCCCUUUU